Molecule: ribosomal RNA, 564 nt
Filed under: marine metagenome
Description: bacterial SSU rRNA
Rfam family: Archaeal small subunit ribosomal RNA
Source: RNAcentral
GGGAAGUACUGUCGCAAGGCAGAAACUUAAAGGAAUUGGCGGGGGAGCACCACAAGGGGUGAAGUCUGCGGUUCAAUUGGAUUCAACGCCGGAAAUCUCACCGGGAGCGACGGCAGGAUGAAGGCCAAGCUAACGACUUUGCUGAACGAGCCGAGAGGAGGUGCAUGGCCGUCGUCAGCUCGUACCGUGAGGCGUCCUGUUAAGUCAGGCAACGAGCGAGACCCGUGCCCCUAGUUGUCAGCGAAUCCCUACGGGGAUGUCGGUCACACUAGGGGGACCGCUUACGAUAAGUAAGAGGAAGGAGCGAGCGACGAUAGGUCAGUAUGCCCCAAAUCUCCCGGGCUACACGCGGACUGCAAUGGCCGGGACAAAUGGUACCAACUUCGAAAGAAGACGGAAAUCCUAAAACCCGGUCCAAGUUCGGAUUGAGGGCUGCAAUUCGCCCUCAUGAAGCCGGAAUCCCUAGUAAUCGCGUGUCAUUAUCGCGCGGUGAAUAUGUCCCUGCUCCUUGCACACACCGCCCGUCACACCACCCGAGUGAGGUCGAGGCAAGGCUCUGCUCAU